UCGCAAACUGUGAAUUCAUUUCACCCGGUAUCUUGAAGUGUCAACUAUCCAAACUCUGCAAAGGUAUCUGCAUUCAACUAGAUGAUAUGAAUGCUUAAGCAUAUUAUCUUUUUCUUUUUGAAAAUAUUUGAUUUGGAUUCUGUUCUGGCAUUACAUUCAGAAACUUAUCACAUGGUAAUAUAUGAUCUUUGGUUAGCAUAAUUCAUGUAGAUGAUUGGACACUGAGCAUCAAGAAAAUUCUGUGACCAAAUCCUGCAGAAGGAUUAGUUUAUGCUGCAUCAAUUGCGCACAUGAUCCAUGCAUCCAGAAUUAAAAGAAGCUUUUGGGAAAAAUAAAGUUGGAGAAGAAAGCUUGCGUGACCGAUGCCAAUUGAAGUGUUUCCUUCCUCAUCUUGUAAAGUUUGGUGUGUGGAGGAGUCUUCAAACUGAUGUUGAAUCCUGCUGCUUAAUUUUGACCAAAUUAUUGGUGUCAUUAUCCAAUGAACAGCCACCUUUUGACAAAUGAUAUGGACCAGAAUUAGGAUUGAGC
RNAcentral lists this long non-coding RNA (528 nucleotides) under Musa acuminata (dwarf banana). RNAcentral's name for it is "long non-coding RNA (MACU_LNC005086)". The record is from RNAcentral. Lineage: Eukaryota; Viridiplantae; Streptophyta; Magnoliopsida; Zingiberales; Musaceae.